GCCAGUAUGGUCUAGUGGUUUGAGUGUUGAUCUGUGACUCUGAAGACCAGGUUUCAAAUCCCUGUUUGGCCA
Phrynosoma platyrhinos (Desert horned lizard) is the source of this 72-nucleotide non-coding RNA. The record is from the annotation of a GenBank genome assembly. NCBI's taxonomy places the organism in Eukaryota, Metazoa, Chordata, Lepidosauria, Squamata, Phrynosomatidae.